Molecule: non-coding RNA, 809 nt
Organism: Schizosaccharomyces pombe (fission yeast)
Lineage: Eukaryota; Fungi; Ascomycota; Schizosaccharomycetes; Schizosaccharomycetales; Schizosaccharomycetaceae
Source: the annotation of a GenBank genome assembly
UGAGAAAAGAAGCUCCCACUGCUGCUAAUGAAGAAGAAAUACCAACGAGUAGCAAUUUUGAUAAAGUAAUCCUCCUCUGAAGCAAUAAUGGUAGAAUCAAACACAUUAGAAGUAAAGCUAUUUCGGACCUAACAAUCGCUGCGGCAAAAACUAAAAUACUGAUAGAGCCGUAAUAAUUAUUUUUAAGUAACAAAGAAAGAGAGUGGUUCGUAGCUAUUAGUCCGAAAAUAUUUGACAAUGGUCUGGACAUAUAGUACACGAGGUGAAAUUGAGCGCAGCUAAACAGUAUAAACAGUGCUCCAGACAAUGUGCCGAAUCGUUUGCUAAUGGAGCAGCUUACAGAAUUCAUACUCUCCCAACUUAAAUACCCAAUUGUCCAUCUAGCGGCAAGUAAUGGAUUAACAAACCAAGAAGGUAUAUAGGACAAAACUGCUAUAAACAAACUCGGUAUGAAACUCCGUUUAACGGCUCCUGGAAACUCCAGAUGAUCAUACUAAAAUAUGUGAGUAAUUUAAAUAAGGAAAUAAUUAUCAACUACUACCUUUGACAAAUCCCAACGAUACGUCUGAAUGUCAUGAAUCGCUUGCAUAGCAAACGACUCUUCUACCUUUGUAAACGGAGUUUUGUACGAAUAAUACCCUAUGCAUGUCACAAGCAAAAUAUUUGCCAAAUACCAACAAAUGCUCUCUUUAGAAGUCAUCCCGCUUCAUCAUUUAUUGAAAGCAUACAAAUAGUUAUUGGAGAAAGAGCAAAGGUGAAUGAAUAUACGUAAAUAAAGCAACGAUUAAUUUUGCUAAAUCUAGUUUAAG